This 575-nucleotide ribosomal RNA is filed under the name uncultured bacterium. Its description in RNAcentral is "bacterial SSU rRNA". It matches the Rfam family "Bacterial small subunit ribosomal RNA", at positions 338 to 916 of the family's 1533-position model. The record is from RNAcentral.
CCUACGGGAGGCAGCAGUAAGGAAUAUUGGUCAAUGGGCGCAAGCCUGAACCAGCCAUGCCGCGUGCAGGAUGACGGCCCUCUGGGUUGUAAACUGCUUUUAUACGGGAAGAACAGCAUCUACGUGUAGGUGUUUGACGGUACUGUAAGAAUAAGGACCGGCUAACUUCGUGCCAGCAGCCGCGGUAAUACGAAGGGUCCAAGCGUUAUCCGGAUUUAUUGGGUUUAAAGGGUGCGUAGGCGGCUUUUUAAGUCAGUGGUGAAAGCCUGAUGCUCAACAUCAGAACUGCCAUUGAUACUGAAGAGCUUGAGUACAGUUGAGGUUGGCGGAAUGUGUCAUGUAGCGGUGAAAUGCUUAGAUAUGACACAGAACACCGAUUGCGAAGGCAGCUAGCUAAGCUGUUACUGACGCUGAUGCACGAAAGCGUGGGGAGCAAACAGGAUUAGAUACCCUGGUAGUCCACGCCCUAAACGUUGAUAACUCGUUGUUAGCGAUAUACUGUUAGCGACCAAGCGAAAGCAUAAGUUAUCACCUGGAAGUACGGUCGCAAGAUUGAAACUCAAAGGAAUUGACGG